UGGGGAAUAUUGGACAAUGGGGGGAACCCUGAUCCAGCCAUGCCGCGUGUGUGAAGAAGGCCUUAUGGUUGUAAAGCACUUUAAGCGAGGAGGAGGGUACUGGUAUUAAUACUACCAGGUACUGGACGUUACUCGCAGACUAAGCACCGGCUAACUCUGUGCCAGCAGCCGCGGUAAUACAGAGGGUGCGAGCGUUAAUCGGAUUUACUGGGCGUAAAGCGUGCGUAGGCGGCUAAUUGAGUCGGAUGUGAAAUCCCCGAGCUUAACUUGGGAAUUGCAUUCGAUACUGGUUAGCUAGAGUGUGGGAGAGGAUGGUAGAAUUCCAGGUGUAGCGGUGAAAUGCGUAGAGAUCUGGAGGAAUGCCGAUGGCGAAGGCAGCCAUCUGGCCUAACACAGACGCUGAGGUACGAAAGCAAGGGGAGCAAACAGG
Molecule: ribosomal RNA, 430 nt
Filed under: Pseudomonadota bacterium
Lineage: Bacteria; Pseudomonadati; Pseudomonadota
Description: Proteobacteria bacterium partial 16S ribosomal RNA
Rfam family: Bacterial small subunit ribosomal RNA
Source: RNAcentral